Rosa chinensis is the source of this 1189-nucleotide long non-coding RNA. RefSeq lists it as uncharacterized. Lineage: Eukaryota; Viridiplantae; Streptophyta; Magnoliopsida; Rosales; Rosaceae. The record is from RefSeq and is a predicted model, not a curated record. The transcript has 5 exons.
UCUCUCUCUCUCUCUCUCUCUCCAACAUAGAGAACCCACACACCGACAGUGCGGUCUUAACACUGUCGAUCACUUUACCAAAAUUUAUAAUUACUUUGCUCUCUCGAAACGAGAUUGAAGGCUGAAUCUUCUCAGAGACGUCGUGCAUGUUUGGCCUCUGUAACCUCGCUCACCUUGGAUUGCUUCAUCUUCUCCUCUAUAUCUAUAUGUAGCCUUCAAGGAGGAGAUCAAGGAAUUCGAGAUCCGAUACGCUCUACCGGGGGUUUCGACAUCGAUCAAUCAUCAGAUGUUGUUGGGGCUUCGAUUCGGUGCAUUCGACACCCUUCUCUGACUUCUUGUUGUUGGACUGCGCAAGACGCGUCGCCUUAAACGAGCUCUCAUCUCAAGACUGUGAGAAUUUCACCUUAAUUUUUAUUUUAUUUUUAAAUUCUUCUAGCUUCUUCGAAUUUCUCCAUAAAUCUCAUUUAUCAAUGCUCAAAUAUGUGUAUGGAUCCAUGAACGAUUUAUGCAUGUUUGAUUAAUUUAUGCUUCUGCAUAUCUCAUGCUAUCUAAUUUACUGUGCUGACCCCAUGUCAUGAAUAUCACUAUAGCAUCAGCACAUACAUUAUCUAAAGUGGCGAAGAUAAGGGCCAAACUUGAAAGUAACUUUGUUUUCCCAACUUGUCAAUUAUAAAAUGUCUCUCUUUUGGAUAUUGGAGUUCAGUGGUUGUAAUAAUUUGUUUAUGUUGCAACUACGUACUGGAGAAAACAAUCAAAGAGAAGAUAAUACUUAAAGAAGUAGUCCCACCAUGCUGCAACUAGUGGAGAAAACAAUCAAAGAGAAGAUAAGCAAUUGCCUUCUUUUGAAGGUACGAAUAUUCAGACGCAUGAAAGAGGUUGCGAUUUAGCUGAGGCUUUGGUUCAAGACAAAUUUUAAGCUUUGCAAAAUUUGGUUUGAUAUGGGCGAAAUAUGGGAGAAUGAGUUAGGUCUGCAGCCUUGGUCAGGUUACAUCGUAUGAUGCUUGAAGAUUUGCCGAAUGGUAUUAUGGAUGAGGUACUGUGAGCACGUUGCCAUUUGCUUUGAAAGAGUUUGUCCAUAUCAAAGAAGGGUUGCAGUUGUGGAGAAUAAAUUUUGUUGUCUCUGGAUGUAAUGAAUUAUUUUUAGUUCGCGAAUUUGUUGUAUGAUGCAUUUUUUAAUAUAGUAUACGGU